GAUGAACGCUGGCGGCGUGCCUAAUACAUGCAAGUCGAGCGAACAGACGAGGAGCUUGCUCCUCUGACGUUAGCGGCGGACGGGUGAGUAACACGUGGAUAACCUACCUAUAAGACUGGGAUAACUUCGGGAAACCGGAGCUAAUACCGGAUAAUAUAUUGAACCGCAUGGUUCAAUAGUGAAAGACGGUUUUGCUGUCACUUAUAGAUGGAUCCGCGCCGCAUUAGCUAGUUGGUAAGGUAACGGCUUACCAAGGCGACGAUGCGUAGCCGACCUGAGAGGGGGGUUCGCCCCACCUGAAACGAGGACACGGUCCAGCCCCUAAGGGAGGGCGGCGGUGGGAAACCUUCGCAAUGGGGCGAAACCCUGACGAAGCAAGGCGCGGUGGUGAUGGAGGUCCUCCGGUUGGAAAACCCCGUUUAUAGGGAAAAACCAAUUUGUAAGUAAAUAAGGCACUCCUGACGGUACCUAAACAAGAAGCCACGGCUAACUACGUG
RNAcentral lists this ribosomal RNA (497 nucleotides) under uncultured bacterium. Its description in RNAcentral is "partial 16S ribosomal RNA". It matches the Rfam family "Bacterial small subunit ribosomal RNA", at positions 28 to 507 of the family's 1533-position model. The record is from RNAcentral.